GAUGAACGCUGGCGGCGUGCCUAAUACAUGCAAGUCGAGCGAACGGACGAGAAGCUUGCCUUUCUGGUGUUAGCGGCGGACGGGUGAGUAACACGUGGAUAACCUACCUAUAAGACUGGGAUAACUUCGGGAAACCGGAGCUAAUACCGGAUAAUAUUUUGAACCGCAUGGUUCAAAAGUGAAAGACGGUCUUGCUGUCACUUAUAGAUGGAUCCGCGCUGCAUUAGCUAGUUGGUAAGGUAACGGCUUACCAAGGCAACGAUGCAUAGCCGACCUGAGAGGGUGAUCGGCCACACUGGAACUGAGACACGGUCCAGACUCCUACGGGAGGCAGCAGUAGGGAAUCUUCCGCAAUGGGCGAAAGCCUGACGGAGCAACGCCGCGUGAGUGAUGAAGGUCUUCGGAUCGUAAAACUCUGUUAUUAGGGAAGAACAUAUGUGUAAGUAACUGUGCACAUCUUGACGGUACCUAAUCAGAAAGCCACGGCUAACUACGUG
This 497-nucleotide ribosomal RNA is filed under the name uncultured bacterium. RNAcentral's name for it is "partial 16S ribosomal RNA". It matches the Rfam family "Bacterial small subunit ribosomal RNA", at positions 28 to 507 of the family's 1533-position model. The record is from RNAcentral.